CAGCCAGACCAGGAUACACAAACACUCAGCUCUCCCGCCUCCCAGCACACGCAACGUGCCCGUGACGUGGAACUGCAGGUUCUCCCCCACCCCUGUCCUCUAUGAGCUGAGCCGCGUUGCUCCACCACAUGCCCCCACCAUGAUGUUCCCCUCACCCGGACUCAGAGCCACGGAGCCGGCGACCACAGACUGAGGCCUCUGAAACCCGGGGCCCAAACACCCCUUUCUCAGGAAUGAAUUGCACUGAACUGGGGCCGUGUAUGUAGCUCAGUGGCAAAGCAUUUGCCUCGCCUGGCACGUGUGCGGUACUCCUGCCCCAGGCCUAAGAACUGUGAGGCCUCAUUCCUGUGAUUUAUCCAUCCUUUCUCAUACCCGAGUCCUGGAGGGAUUGAACAAUCUGAAAAUGACACACAGCAAAUCAAGAGCAGUUCUGCAUCAUGGAAGCAAUUUCAGGAGUGAGCCCAACAUCCCAGCGCUGUCCCACCUGCUCUGUGGCCUCCAGGAGACCCUGGAGUUCAGUCUGUGACCCUUACCUCAAACUGCUCCUUGGUGGCCUCGAUGAGAGGACACUCGACACCGGCUCGGUCCCCUUUUUCCACCUGAAGUGGAGGACACAUGCAGUUCCUGAGUCUCAGGGUCAGAAGCUUUCCCGAUGGAGACCAGAUCUGGUUCACCGCCAGUCUCUCAGGAGGACUCCAGGACCUACGCCAGGUCUCCUGGGCACCACCCCUGCCCCGUCCCUGUGGCUCCGCUGAGCGGACUGUUCCUUUGGGAACGGCUUGGUUAGGAGCAGGACUUGUAUGAGGGGUGGGAAGAGAGCCCACGGAGAAGGAAGCAGGCAGUGGAUGGAACUGAGGCCAAAUUGUCAGCCAAGACUUUCCAGGCUGGUGAGGAGCCAUGUGCUUCUUAAGUCUCCGGAAGUAGAACAGCGUUUUCAAUGCACAGCCAUUCUCCGCUACCACACAGGACGCUCCAACCACAGGAAGCAUGAAAGGAGUCAGACACACCCGCCCGGUGCUAUUAAUGUUCUGGGGAGCUGAGAGAGUUACGAAAGUCUGUGGGCCACCGAGGUCUGAGGAGGAGGGAGUGGAGAAGUCUGGGGAGACAGGGCGCUCAGGAAAAACAUGGAGUAAGAGGCAGCCCGGAGCGUGUGGGAAUGCAAGGAGGGACAGGGUUACACGGAGGCCCCGGACCCCUGUGGACCUGAUGGCAGGGAGGUAAGAGCCAGACCCCUGAGCUGAGAGAGCGGUAACAGGAAGAAAUAUUCACCGGACAUCCACCGAGUG
Molecule: long non-coding RNA, 1286 nt
Organism: Fukomys damarensis (Damara mole-rat)
Lineage: Eukaryota; Metazoa; Chordata; Mammalia; Rodentia; Bathyergidae
Exons: 3
Source: RefSeq, a predicted model, not a curated record